ACACAGGUGCUGCAUGGCUGUCGUCAGCUCGUGUCGUGAGAUGUUGGGUUAAGUCCCGCAACGAGCGCAACCCUCGUCCUUAGUUGCCAUCAUUAAGUUGGGCACUUUAAGGAAACUGCCGGUGAUAAGCCGGAGGAAGGUGGGGAUGACGUCAAGUCCUCAUGGCCCUUACAGGCUGGGCUACACACGUGCUACAAUGGCAUCUACAGUGGGCAGCUAUUCCGCAAGGAUGCGCUAAUCUCCAAAAGAUGUCUCAGUUCGGAUUGUCCUCUGCAACUCGAGGGCAUGAAGGCGGAAUCGCUAGUAAUCGCGGAUCAGCAUGCCGCGGUGAAUACGUUCCCAGGCCUU
RNAcentral lists this ribosomal RNA (348 nucleotides) under uncultured Porphyrobacter sp. RNAcentral describes it as "bacterial SSU rRNA". It matches the Rfam family "Bacterial small subunit ribosomal RNA", at positions 1032 to 1382 of the family's 1533-position model. Lineage: Bacteria; Pseudomonadati; Pseudomonadota; Alphaproteobacteria; Sphingomonadales; Erythrobacteraceae. The record is from RNAcentral.